CUACGGGUGGCAGCAGUGGGGAAUAUUGCACAAUGGGCGCAAGCCUGAUGCAGCCAUGCCGCGUGUAUGAAGAAGGCCUUCGGGUUGUAAAGUACUUUCAGCGGGGAGGAAGGGAGUAAAGUUAAUACCUUUGCUCAUUGACGUUACCCGCAGAAGAAGCACCGGCUAACUCCGUGCCAGCAGCCGCGGUGAAUACGGAGGGUGCAAGCGUUAAUCGGAAUUACUGGGCGUAAAGCGCACGCAGGCGGUUUGUGAAGUCAGAUGUGAACUCCCCGGGCUCAACCUGGGAACUGCAUCUGAGACUGGCAAGCUUGAGUCUCGGAGAGGGGGGUAGAAUUCCAGGUGUAGCGGUGAAAUGCGUAUAGAUCUGGAGGAAUACCGGUGGCGAAGGCGGCCCCCUGGACGAAGACUGACGCUCAGGUGCGAAAGCGUGGGGAGCAAACAGGAUUAGAUACCCGAGUAGUC
This 465-nucleotide ribosomal RNA is filed under the name uncultured bacterium. RNAcentral's name for it is "partial 16S ribosomal RNA". It matches the Rfam family "Bacterial small subunit ribosomal RNA", at positions 339 to 795 of the family's 1533-position model. The record is from RNAcentral.